This 951-nucleotide non-coding RNA is filed under the name Nemateleotris decora (elegant firefish). RNAcentral describes it as "12S ribosomal RNA". It matches the Rfam family "Bacterial small subunit ribosomal RNA". The record is from RNAcentral. Lineage: Eukaryota; Metazoa; Chordata; Actinopteri; Gobiiformes; Gobiidae.
CACAAGCUUGGUCCUGACUUUACUGUCAGCUUUGAUUAAAUUUAUACAUGCGAGUAUCUGCGACCCUGUGAGAAUGCCCUACCCGUUCCCUUUUAAGGGAAAAAGGAGCCGGUAUCAGGCACAACCCUGCGUUUGCCCACAACACCUUGCUUAGCCACACCCCCAAGGGACCCCAGCAGUAAUACACAUUAAGCCAUAAGUGUAAACUUGACUUAGUUAAGAUCAAACAGGGCCGGUUAAACUCGUGCCAGCCACCGCGGUUAUACGAGAGGCCCAAGUUGACAGAAGCCGGCGUAAAGGGUGGUUAAUAGCACAAACACUAAGGCCGAACAUCUUCAAGGCUGUCAUACGCACCCGAAGACAGGAAGAACUUACACGAAAGUAGCCUUAACAUACUAUGAAGCCACGAAAGCUAGGAAACAAACUGGGAUUAGAUACCCCACUAUGCCUAGCCCUAAACACAAAUACUCCUUUACAAUGUAUUCGCCAGGGAACAACGAGCCCCAGCUUAAAACCCAAAGGACUUGGCGGUGCUUUAGACCCCCCUAGAGGAGCCUGUUCUAGAACCGAUACCCCCCGUUCAACCUCACCCUCUCUUGUUUAACCCGCCUAUAUACCGCCGUCGUCAGCUUACCCUGUGAAGGCUAAAUAGUAAGCAAAAUUGGCACAACCCAAAACGUCAGGUCGAGGUGUAGCGCACGGGAGGGGAAGAAAUGGGCUACAUUUACUGUUACAGUAAAUACGGACUUUGCACUGAAAUAAGCAUCUGAAGGAGGAUUUAGCAGUAAGAGAGGAAUAGAGCGCCCCUCUGAAACCGGCCCUGAAGCGCGCACACACCGCCCGUCACUCUCCCCGACCACUGCAACUAAUAAAUAAUAUACCUAGACUUAUUAAUAAGGGGAGGCAAGUCGUAACAUGGUAAGUGUACCGGAAGGUGCGCUUGGAAAAACC